This 896-nucleotide ribosomal RNA is filed under the name uncultured bacterium. RNAcentral's name for it is "bacterial SSU rRNA". It matches the Rfam family "Bacterial small subunit ribosomal RNA", at positions 34 to 889 of the family's 1533-position model. The record is from RNAcentral.
AGCUGGCGGCGUGGAUAGGCAUGCAAGUCGAACGAGAAUCUGAAGGUCCAAGUUUUCGGACAAGGACUUUUGGAGGACAGUGGCGGAAGGGUGAGUACAACAUGGAUAAUCUACCUUCAAGUUGGGUAUAGCUCCUCGAAAGGGGAGAUAAUCCCGAAUGUGGUGAUCCGGCGCAUGUCGGAGAAUCCAAAGGCGGGGACCGCAAGGCCUGUCGCUUGAAGAUGAGUCCGUGCACUAUCAGCUAGUUGGCGGGGUAACGGCCCACCAAGGCUAUGACGGUUAGCUGGUCUGAGAGGAUGGUCAGCCACACUGGGACUGAGAUACUGCCCAGACUCCUACGGGAGGCUGCAGUCGAGAAUCAUUCGCAAUGGGCGAAAGCCUGACGGUGCGACGUCGCGUGGAGGAUGAAGGUCUUCGGAUUGUAAACUCCUGUCAUGUGGGAUAAAUGGCCAGGGCACGAAUAGUGCCUUGGAAUGAUAGUACCACAGGAGGAAGAGACGGCUAACUCUGUGCCAGCAGCCGCGGUAAUACAGAGGUCUCGAGCGUUGUUCGGAUUUACUGGGCGUAAAGGGAGCGUAGGCGGUUCGGUAUGUCGAAUGUGAAAGCCCACAACUCAACUGUGGAAAUGCAUUCGAAACUGCCGGGCUAGAGUACUGGAGAGGAGAGCGGAAUUCUUGGUGUAGCGGUGAAAUGCGUAGAUAUCAAGAGGAACGCCGGUGGCGAAGGCGGCUCUCUGGACAGAUACUGACGCUGAGGCUCUAAAGUUAGGGGAGCAAACAGGAUUAGAUACCCCUGGUAGUCCUAACCUUAAACGGUGUACACUUGGUGUGCGAGGAAUUGUCCCUUUGCGCGCCGCAGCUAACGCGAUAAGUGUACCGCCUGGGGAGUACGGUCGC